Molecule: ribosomal RNA, 482 nt
Filed under: Alternaria alternata
Lineage: Eukaryota; Fungi; Ascomycota; Dothideomycetes; Pleosporales; Pleosporaceae
Description: eukaryotic LSU rRNA
Rfam family: 5.8S ribosomal RNA (bases 146-299)
Source: RNAcentral
GGAACCUCUCGGGGUUACAGCCUUGCUGAAUUAUUCACCCUUGUCUUUUGCGUACUUCUUGUUUCCUUGGUGGGUUCGCCCACCACUAGGACAAACAUAAACCUUUUGUAAUUGCAAUCAGCGUCAGUAACAAAUUAAUAAUUACAACUUUCAACAACGGAUCUCUUGGUUCUGGCAUCGAUGAAGAACGCAGCGAAAUGCGAUAAGUAGUGUGAAUUGCAGAAUUCAGUGAAUCAUCGAAUCUUUGAACGCACAUUGCGCCCUUUGGUAUUCCAAAGGGCAUGCCUGUUCGAGCGUCAUUUGUACCCUCAAGCUUUGCUUGGUGUUGGGCGUCUUGUCUCUAGCUUUGCUGGAGACUCGCCUUAAAGUAAUUGGCAGCCGGCCUACUGGUUUCGGAGCGCAGCACAAGUCGCACUCUCUAUCAGCAAAGGUCUAGCAUCCAUUAAGCCUUUUUUUCAACUUUUGACCUCGGAUCAGGUAGG